This 949-nucleotide long non-coding RNA is filed under the name Triticum aestivum (bread wheat). Its description in RNAcentral is "long non-coding RNA (TAES_LNC025446)". The record is from RNAcentral. Lineage: Eukaryota; Viridiplantae; Streptophyta; Magnoliopsida; Poales; Poaceae.
UGUGAUACUCCCAUCUUCACUAUAUGCAUGUUGUGAUACUCCCAUCUGCACAUUCAUGUUUCAGCAAAGGAAUCAUAAGCUGCACACUUUCAGUAGUGUAGAAUUUACAUAGUAUUCAGCGGCAUGCAAAUUCACCUUUAGUGCUUCAAACAAUUUAGUUCUCUAGAUAACGUGUUCUACCAAUUAUGUAAUCUUACCAAAUGGAUGGUCAUCCAGCUUUACUCAUACAUGGGAUCAUAUUUGUAUCUGAUUUGUAUAAUGAGUCUUUGCAUAGGGAUAAGUUAGGGAAGCUAGUGUAAGCAUUAGACUCUAGCAGUAUUGAAACAGUUCCAGGAAAUAAAAAACUGCUACCGGUUUUCAGAAUAGAUGCUCACAUGAAUCAUUGGUUAAUCUUGAAUGAACCUUUAGCUCAGAGAAGUCCAAAAACAUUGUGCACCACCAUGGCACCAUCAACAGCAACAACUUGUAGCUAUGAUUUCAGAAUAGAUGCUCCAGGUCCUUAUAGCAUAGAUCCUGUCAAUAAAUUUCACAAGGGAGCGUAAUUUUAAAUUUGACAAACAGUUUAAAAAGUUUACUAAAAUGUUGCAUCACAUGGAUAAAUAGCAUACAGAUAAUGUUGCAUCACUAUUGAGGACAGAUGGCAAGAUCUUUUGCACAAAAUUUAACAGUGAAAUACAAGUGCAAGAUCUUCUCUCGUUUAUUACUACUACACAAGCCGGACAGGAUCAGUUGGCUGCCUAGCUCUAUUGAUUUCAGGAGGCGGCAGGAGCAGCAUGCACAAGGUUUUUGGUCAAGGCACAAGGUAGAAUCCCAUAGGCCAAAACUAAUACGCCCGCUAGAAUCCCGAGCAGGCACAAGGUAGAACAAACAAAGUUGGGGUUUGGUCCAAGGCACCAGAACCUAGCUUGCCCCGUGAGCGCGACCCAACAGUGGUUAAUCGGCUAGCUGC